AGUGAACGCUGGCGGUAGGCCUAACACAUGCAAGUCGAACGGCAGCACAGUAAGAGCUUGCUCUUACGGGUGGCGAGUGGCGGACGGGUGAGGAAUACAUCGGAAUCUACUUUUUCGUGGGGGAUAACGUAGGGAAACUUACGCUAAUACCGCAUACGACCUACGGGUGAAAGCAGUGGAUCUUCGCACCUUGCGCGAUUGAAUGAGCCGAUGUCGGAUUAGCUAGUUGGCGGGGUAAAGGCCCACCAAGGCGACGAUCCGUAGCUGGUCUGAGAGGAUGAUCAGCCACACUGGAACUGAGACACGGUCCAGACUCCUACGGGAGGCAGCAGUGGGGAAUAUUGGACAAUGGGCGCAAGCCUGAUCCAGCCAUACCGCGUGGGUGAAGAAAGCCUUCGGGUUGUAAAGCCCUUUUGUUGGGAAAGAAAAGCAGCAGGUUAAUACCCCGCUGUUCUGACGGUACCCAAAGAAUAAGCACCGGCUAACUUCGUG
This 492-nucleotide ribosomal RNA is filed under the name uncultured bacterium. RNAcentral describes it as "partial 16S ribosomal RNA". It matches the Rfam family "Bacterial small subunit ribosomal RNA", at positions 29 to 507 of the family's 1533-position model. The record is from RNAcentral.